RNAcentral lists this ribosomal RNA (389 nucleotides) under uncultured bacterium. RNAcentral's name for it is "partial 16S ribosomal RNA". It matches the Rfam family "Bacterial small subunit ribosomal RNA", at positions 355 to 735 of the family's 1533-position model. The record is from RNAcentral.
UGGGGAAUUUUGGACAAUGGGCGAAAGCCUGAUCCAGCAAUGCCGCGUGUGUGAAGAAGGCCUUCGGGUUGUAAAGCACUUUUGUCCGGAAAGAAAUCCUUGGCUCUAAUACAGUCGGGGGAUACGGUACCGGAAGAAUAAGCACCGGCUAACUACGUGCCAGCAGCCGCGGUAAUACGUAGGGUGCAAGCGUUAAUCGGGAAUUACUGGGCGUAAAGCGUGCGCAGGCGGUUUGCUAAGACCGAUGUGAAAUCCCCGGGCUCAACCUGGGAACUGCAUUGGUGACUGGCAGGCUAGAGUAUGGCAGAGGUGGGUAGAAUUCCACGUGUAGCAGUGGAAAUGCGUAGAGAUGUGGAGGAAUACCGAUGGCGAAGGCAGCCCCCUGGGCC